UGCUUUACACAUGCAAGUCGAACGGCAGCACGGGGGCAACCCUGGUGGCGAGUGGCGAACGGGUGAGUAAUGUAUCGGAACGUACCCCGUCGUGGGGGAUAACUCUCCGAAAGGAGAGCUAAUACCGCAUACGACCUGAGGGUGAAAGCGGGGGACCUGCAAGGGCCUCGCGCGAUGGGAGCGGCCGAUAUCGGAUUAGCUAGUUGGUGAGGUAAAGGCUCACCAAGGCGACGAUCCGUAGCGGGUCUGAGAGGACGACCCGCCACACUGGAACUGAGACACGGUCCAGACUCCUACGGGAGGCAGCAGUGGGGAAUUUUGGACAAUGGGGGCAACCCUGAUCCAGCCAUUCCGCGUGAGUGAAGAAGGCCUUCGGGUUGUAAAGCUC
RNAcentral lists this ribosomal RNA (388 nucleotides) under uncultured organism. RNAcentral describes it as "bacterial SSU rRNA". It matches the Rfam family "Bacterial small subunit ribosomal RNA", at positions 45 to 433 of the family's 1533-position model. The record is from RNAcentral.